RNAcentral lists this ribosomal RNA (497 nucleotides) under uncultured bacterium. RNAcentral describes it as "partial 16S ribosomal RNA". It matches the Rfam family "Bacterial small subunit ribosomal RNA", at positions 28 to 507 of the family's 1533-position model. The record is from RNAcentral.
GAUGAACGCUGGCGGCGUGCCUAAUACAUGCAAGUCGAGCGAACAGACGAGGAGCUUGCUCCUCUGACGUUAGCGGCGGACGGGUGAGUAACACGUGGAUAACCUACCUAUAAGACUGGGAUAACUUCGGGAAGCCGGAGCUAAUACCGGAUAACAUGUUGAACCGCAUGGUUCAACAGUGAAGGACGGUCUUGCUGUCACUUAUAGAUGGAUCCGCGCCGCAUUAGCUAGUUGGUAAGGUAACGGCUUACCAAGGCAACGAUGCGUAGCCGACCUGAGAGGGUGAUCGGCCACACUGGAACUGAGACACGGUCCAGACUCCUACGGGAGGCAGCAGUAGGGAAUCUUCCGCAAUGGGCGAAAGCCUGACGGAGCAACGCCGCGUGAGUGAAGAAGGUCUUCGGAUCGUAAAACUCUGUUAUUAGGGAAGAACAAAUGUGUAAGUAACUAUGCACGUCUUGACGGUACCUAAUCAGAAAGCCACGGCUAACUACGUG